GAGCAACUUAUUACAUUACAUUACAAUACAUUACAUUUGGAGAACGUUUUAUAACAACAUGCGACUUCCAAUAAGGGAAACAAUCAAGGUAGAGUGCAAUAAGGUCAAGUGCAGCAGUGAGUGCUACUUCCAUACAGUCAAGUACAGUAAGUGCUAGAAUUAGCAAGUCUAGUAGUAGAGAUACUCUCAGAAGAGCUGGGUCUUCAGGAGAUUUUUGAAGGUAGAGAGGGACACUCCUGCUCUUGUAGGAACUGGUACUGCAUUCUAGCAAUGGGGAAUAACAGAUGAGAAAAGUUUAGAUUGCCCUGAGCGGAAAAUACAAUACUGUCACAAUGUGUUGCACAAGAAAAUGCUUAUAUUAUGGUAUAGUGAUUAUGCGAUUCAUCGUAAGAAAAUAUGGAAAAUACUCCUGGUGUUCCUAGGUAACGUUUCCCCUACACAAUAUGCUAAUAAAGAAACAAGCUCAUGUUUGCACUACAUCAUGUAUGAUGAUGUAAUACAUUUUUACUUCAUAAUGUAAUAACUCCUGCAGUGUAUCAAUAAUAUAUCACAUAUUCAAUAAUAAUUUGUCCCAUCCGAUUAAGACCAGAUCCAGUUAAGGAAUCGCUUUGGCUCAGAUCUGGCCCUGAUCUGGCCUCGUGUUUCUCUGAUGUCUUGAGGCCUGUGAGGCCCUCUUUCAGCACAUACACAUACACACACACACACACACACACACACACACACACACACACACACACACACACACACACACUACUAUGCCCAAAGGAAUUUCAUGACCUAAGUUUCACAGAAUGCACAACACAAAAAAUGUGUUUUCCCUGAUUUGUCCAGAAUUCUUUGUCACCUGUUUGUAAUAGCAAAAGGUUGUAGAGUUGUUGAUAAGCAACCCCAUUCUCUACCAUUUGUAGGUUUCUGUGCAGUACAAUGAGAGCGUAUUUGCAAUCUCACCCAACCUGUGUUUUUGACAGCCAGGUGUAUGAGUUAUUUGAGUUAUCUGGGUUGUUGGCCAAAUAAAGAAUUGGAAUGUACUCUUAA
Alosa sapidissima (American shad) is the source of this 1035-nucleotide long non-coding RNA. RefSeq lists it as uncharacterized. The transcript is spliced from 2 exons. Lineage: Eukaryota; Metazoa; Chordata; Actinopteri; Clupeiformes; Clupeidae. The record is from RefSeq and is a predicted model, not a curated record.